Molecule: ribosomal RNA, 468 nt
Filed under: uncultured bacterium
Lineage: Bacteria
Description: partial 16S ribosomal RNA
Rfam family: Bacterial small subunit ribosomal RNA
Source: RNAcentral
GACGAACGCUGGCGGCGUGCUUAACACAUGCAAGUCGAACGGAAAGGCCCUGCUUUUGUGGGGUGCUCGAGUGGCGAACGGGUGAGUAACACGUGAGUAACCUGCCCUUGACUUUGGGAUAACUUCAGGAAACUGGGGCUAAUACCGGAUAGGAGCUCCUGCUGCAUGGUGGGGGUUGGAAAGUUUCGGCGGUUGGGGAUGGACUCGCAGCUUAUCAGCUUGUUGGUGGGGUAGUGGCUUACCAAGGCUUUGACGGGUAGCCGGCCUGAGAGGGUGACCGGCCACAUUGGGACUGAGAUACGGCCCAGACUCCUACGGGAGGCAGCAGUGGGGAAUAUUGCACAAUGGGCGGAAGCCUGAUGCAGCAACGCCGCGUGCGGGAUGACGGCCUUCGGGUUGUAAACCGCUUUCGCCUGUGACGAAGCGUGAGCGACGGUAAUGGGUAAAGAAGCACCGGCUAACUACGUG